Molecule: ribosomal RNA, 253 nt
Filed under: uncultured bacterium
Lineage: Bacteria
Description: partial 16S ribosomal RNA
Rfam family: Bacterial small subunit ribosomal RNA
Source: RNAcentral
UACGUAGGGAGCAAGCGUUGUCCGGAUUUACUGGGUGUAAAGGGAGCGCAGGCGGCACGGCAAGCCUGAUGUGAAAGCCCGCGGCCCAACCGCGGGACUGCAUUGGGAACUACCGGGCUGGAGUGCCGGAGAGGUAGGCGGAAUUCCUAGUGUAGCGGUGAAAUGCGUAGAUAUUAGGAGGAACACCAGUGGCGAAGGCGGCCUACUGGACGGUGACUGACGCUGAGGCUCGAAAGCGUGGGGAGCAAACAGG